CGGGGAUCCCGCAGCCUCCCCGUCAAGUGGGUCACCCCAUGCAAGCGCUGC
Molecule: non-coding RNA, 51 nt
Submitted as: unclassified sequences
Source: Rfam